UGGUGACAAGAUUGUCCUCUUUGGGGGUAC
RNAcentral lists this non-coding RNA (30 nucleotides) under Homo sapiens (human). Lineage: Eukaryota; Metazoa; Chordata; Mammalia; Primates; Hominidae. The record is from RNAcentral.